This is a long non-coding RNA of Oncorhynchus tshawytscha (Chinook salmon), 673 nucleotides long. Lineage: Eukaryota; Metazoa; Chordata; Actinopteri; Salmoniformes; Salmonidae. The record is from Ensembl.
GUCAAUGUGGAGGCUAUAUACAGGGUAUUACGGUACAGAGUCAAUGUGGAGGCUAUAUACAGGGGGUACUGGUACAGAGUCAAUGUGGAGGCUAUAUACAGGGGGUACCGGUACAGAGUCAAUGUGGAGGCUAUAUACAGGGGGUACCAGUACAGAGUCAAUGUGGAGACUAUAUACAGGGGGUACCGGCACAGAGUCAAUGUGGAGGCUAUAUACAGGGGGUACCAGUACAGAGUCAAUGUGGAGGCUAUAUACAGGGGUACCGGUACAGAGUCAAUGUGGAGGCUAUAUACAGGGGUACCGGUACAGAGUCAAUGUGGAGGCUAUAUACAGGGGGUACCGGUACAGAGUCAAUGUGGAGGAUAUAUACAGGGGGUACCGGUACAGAGUCAAUGUGGAGGCUAUAUACAGGGGGUACCGGUACAGAGUCAAUGUGGAGGAUAUAUACAGGGGGGUACCGGUACAGAGUCAAUGUGGAGGCUAUAUACAGGGGUACCGGUACAGAGUCAAUGUGGAGGCUAUAUACAGGGGGUACCGGUACAGAGUCAAUGUGGAGGCUAUAUACAGGGGGUACAGGUACAGAGUCAAUGUGGAGGCUAUAUACAGGGGGUACCGGUACAGAGUCAAUGUGGAGGCUAUAUACAGGGGUACCGGUACAGAGUCAAUGUGGAGG